Molecule: ribosomal RNA, 269 nt
Filed under: uncultured bacterium
Lineage: Bacteria
Description: partial 16S ribosomal RNA
Rfam family: Bacterial small subunit ribosomal RNA
Source: RNAcentral
UACAGAGGGCUCAAGCGUUAAUCGGAAUCACUGGGCUUAAAGGGUCCGCAGGCGGAUUGGAAAGUAUCUUGUGAAAUACCACGGCUCAACCGAUGGACUCGUACGUACUCAAUCUUGAACACGGUAGGGGCCAUCGGAACUCUAGGUGGAGCGGUGAAAUGCGUAGAUAUCUAGAGGAACGCCAGAGGCGAAGGCGGAUGGCUGGGCCGUUGUUGACGCUCAGGGACGAAAGCAUGGGUAGCGAACGGGAUUAGAUACCCGUGUAGUCC